AAAGUCGUAACAAGGUAACCGUAGGUGAACCUGCGGUUGGAUCAUUAAAAAAAUGAACUGUUUGGGUCGACGGUUGCAGAGUGUGCGUCCAGCUGCUGCAAUCUCCCCGACAUACAAACCUCUUGUGAACUGUUCUGUUUCUGGCGGGUGGAUGGGGCUGCUUUUUCGAAAGUCUCCCCGUCUGUCAGCUUGGGCUUGUUCCCAGCCGUGGACAACCCGCCAAACACUUGCUUGAACCUUUGUCUUUUGUAUAUUUUGUCUGAAACCUUCUGUAUGCACAAUACAAACAACUUUUGGCAACGGAUCUCUUGGCUCUC
This 317-nucleotide unclassified non-coding RNA is filed under the name Chytridiomycota sp. Its description in RNAcentral is "partial contains small subunit ribosomal RNA, internal transcribed spacer 1, and 5.8S ribosomal RNA". The stretch from base 1 to 47 matches the Rfam family "Eukaryotic small subunit ribosomal RNA", at positions 1785 to 1831 of the family's 1831-position model. The record is from RNAcentral. Lineage: Eukaryota; Fungi; Chytridiomycota.